UGGGGAAUUUUCCGCAAUGGGCGAAAGCCUGACGGAGUGACGCCGCGUGUGGGACGAAGGCCUUCGGGUCGUAAACCACUGUCAGUGGGAAAGAAGGAUGUCGGUGCUAAUACCACCGGCAUUUGACGGUACCUGCAGAGGAAGCCCCGGCCAACUCUGUGCCAGCAGCCGCGGUAAGACAGAGGGGGCAAGCGUUGCUCGGAAUUACUGGGCGUAAAGGGCGCGUAGGCGGGAUGGCAAGUCGGUCGUGAAAUCCUUCGGCUCAACCGAAGAACGUCGAUCGAUACUGCUGUUCUUGAGGGUUGCAGAGGAGACUGGAAUUCCCGGUGUAGCGGUGAAAUGUGUAGAGAUCGGGAGGAACACCGGUGGCGAAGGCGGGUCUCUGGGCAAUUCCUGACGCUGAGGCGCGAAAGCGUGGGGAGCAAACG
RNAcentral lists this ribosomal RNA (428 nucleotides) under uncultured bacterium. RNAcentral's name for it is "bacterial SSU rRNA". It matches the Rfam family "Bacterial small subunit ribosomal RNA", at positions 355 to 774 of the family's 1533-position model. The record is from RNAcentral.